UCCAAAUUCAGAAACAGGUAGCAAGGGAGUCUGAGAUAAAGAACAAUACAGUAAAGAAGUCAACAUUCAGAGAUGCCUGAAGUGACCGAGGUUACCUAGCAACCCUAAGGCUACAUGCUACAGAUGGAAGAAGUCACUAGAAUAUCACAGACAAAACUGGUCAAAAGAUCCACCUAAUAGAACCUCUUUAUAGAAACGUGCAGGUCGUCAUCUUCAUAUUCCUCCCACCAGAACUCUAAACUGAAAGGUGAGGAAACUCAAACAGAAGUUAGACUUAUCCAGGAUCAGAUAAGGAAAUAAACCCAAAUGGAGAAAGUCACCCAUCUCAAGGUCACAGAAAUAUUUCAUAGUAGAGUAAAAAAAGAAUCUAUUCCAUUUUCCAUUGUAUUAUGCCUCCUCAGAUGGAGCUUUUCAACUUGAUUAGAGCUUUAGGAAGAUCUCCACCUGUCUGCCUCACCAACUCUGCUCUUUCAAUCAUGGUUCUCUGGCAUGGCACUAUGGAAUGUACUCUAAUGACACAUCACACCUGAACAAUAGCUCUUUUAUUUUUUAAAAAUAAAGCAAAGCUUAUUCAAUAUUCCUCCCUGAAUUGUACUAUAUGCU
Molecule: long non-coding RNA, 603 nt
Organism: Sarcophilus harrisii (Tasmanian devil)
Lineage: Eukaryota; Metazoa; Chordata; Mammalia; Dasyuromorphia; Dasyuridae
Exons: 5
Source: RefSeq, a predicted model, not a curated record